This 384-nucleotide transfer-messenger RNA is filed under the name Neosynechococcus sphagnicola sy1. It matches the Rfam family "transfer-messenger RNA". From Rfam's summary of the family: Bacterial tmRNA, also known as 10Sa RNA or SsrA, is named for its dual tRNA and mRNA-like properties. Its role is to liberate the mRNA from a stalled ribosome. The record is from Rfam by way of RNAcentral. Lineage: Bacteria; Bacillati; Cyanobacteriota; Cyanophyceae; Neosynechococcales; Neosynechococcaceae. RNAcentral also lists the same sequence under 1 other name.
GGGGCUGUAACGGUUUCGACGUGUUGGUGAACGUUACUCUGUGAUUCAGGCCGAGAGUGAGUCGUCUCUCGAAAAUCAAAGGCUCAAACUUGUACAUGCGAACAACAUUGUACCCUUUGCUCGUAAGGCCGUUUCUGUCGCCUAAAAACCUCUAAAAGGUUCGAGCGUCUACUAUCUGACUCCGUUAAGGACGGUAGACCAACCCCAACGGAUGCUUUAGCCAGUUGCCUCAGGUCGGCUUGCUAGAUAAGAAAAUCACCUGAGAAUCCCACUGUCCGGGAUAAGGGACAGUUCCCGCCUCAGGAUUAGAAAGGCUAAGCCUGUGAACGAUCAGGGGAUUAAUACCCAGGGCGGACAGGAGUUCGACUCUCCUCAGCUCCAUUA